AAUACAAGAUGCUUAGUUAAACUGGCAUUUCAGAUAGACAAUAAAAUUUUUUUAAGCAUAAGUAUGUCCCAUGCAAUGUUUGGGAUAUACUUAUUCUAAAAUUUUGUUGUUGUUUAUCUGAAAUUCAAAUUGAACUGGGCAUCCUGGUUUUU
RNAcentral lists this microRNA precursor (152 nucleotides) under Loxodonta africana (African savanna elephant). RNAcentral describes it as "miRNA (ENSLAFG00000023987.1)". The stretch from base 50 to 101 matches the Rfam family "mir-1302 microRNA precursor family". The record is from RNAcentral. Lineage: Eukaryota; Metazoa; Chordata; Mammalia; Proboscidea; Elephantidae.